RNAcentral lists this unclassified non-coding RNA (240 nucleotides) under soil metagenome. RNAcentral's name for it is "partial contains 5.8S ribosomal RNA, internal transcribed spacer 2, and large subunit ribosomal RNA". The record is from RNAcentral.
AACAAGGCGUACCUGCGGACCUGCGGAGGGAUCAUCAUCGAAUUCAUAUCCUUCUCCCACCGGAGGGGGACCUAUGAUAAACCCUUCUGUGCACCGUAAACCGUUCACUUUGGCAGGCUUUGGUGGUGAGCGUGAGCUCGUCAACCUCGCGUUCCCUCCCUAGGGGGGUUGCGCGUGGCGGCCUGCCGGAGUCCUCCUAUGAAAAACACGUUUUCGAACACGACUGAAAUUUCCUUUGAG